CCUACGGGUGGCAGCAGUGGGGAAUAUUGGUCAAUGGGCGCAAGCCUGACCCAGCAACGCCGCGUGAAGGAAGAAGGCCCUCGGGUUGUAAACUUCUUUUAUUCGGGACGAAACAAAUGACGGUACCGAAUGUAUAAGCCACGGCUAACUACGUGCCAGCAGCCGCGGUAAUACGUAGGUGGCGAGCGUUAUCCGGAUUUAUUGGGUUUAAAGGUUGCGUAGGCGGAUCGUUAAGUCAGUGGUCAAAUUGAGGGGUUAAACCCCUUCCCGCCGUUGACACUGGCGGUCUUGAGUGGAAGAGAAGUGUGCGGAAUGCGUGGUGUAGCGGUGAAAUGCAUAGAGAUCACGCAGAACACCGAUUGCGAAGGCAGCACGCUGGAUUCCGACUGACGCUGAGGCACGAAAGCGUGGGGAUCGAACAGGAUUAGAUACCCUGGUAGUC
Molecule: ribosomal RNA, 442 nt
Filed under: uncultured bacterium
Lineage: Bacteria
Description: partial 16S ribosomal RNA
Rfam family: Bacterial small subunit ribosomal RNA
Source: RNAcentral